ACACAAAGGCAGCUUUGUGAGGCGGCGACGGCUCCGCGGCCGCCCCAGGACAGAGCGGCCUGGGCAGAGGGCGGGCCGGGGUCGGCGCCGCGGAGGCGGGGAGGGAGGGAGGGUUGGAGGGUUGAGCCAGAGACCCGGGACCCCGUCCCCGCACACCUGCCAGUGCCCCGUAGCUUCGGCCGCCGGCACUGGCAGGAGAUGAAAGGCUGCUGCCGCCCGGUCGGAAGGACAUCGGCGCCCCCCAGGCCCGGUCCCCGCCCCAGUUCCUCGGGCCUUUCCUGCUGCCCCUGCCUGCGAGGGCCGACGACACGGAGAACAGGAUCCUGCGCCCAACCCAGGAGCAGUUGGGUGAGGAGCACCAGAAAUUCAAUGCUCCCUGGCGCUGCAUCCCCAGAGCCCUCCCAGCCUAAGAAGCCCCAUCUUUCUGUCUCCACGCAUGGAGAACUGCAGCUGUGAGGCCCAGGACCCUUAGCAGGACAUGCAGAGCUGGGCAGGGACCCAGGCUCAUGCUCCCAGCGUGGGGUGAGUUGUCUCCAGCCUGUGGAGACUGCCAUGAAGUUGAUCUGCCUCCCAGAGGGCCUGGCCCACUUGAAAUAAUUGCUCCGGCUACUGA
Molecule: long non-coding RNA, 613 nt
Filed under: Homo sapiens (human)
Lineage: Eukaryota; Metazoa; Chordata; Mammalia; Primates; Hominidae
Description: HSALNT0311768
Source: RNAcentral